GACGAACGCUGGCGGCGUGCUUAACACAUGCAAGUCGAACGGAAAGGCCCUGCUUGCAGGGUGCUCGAGUGGCGAACGGGUGAGUAACACGUGGGUGAUCUGCCCCUUACUUUGGGAUAAGCCUGGGAAACUGGGUCUAAUACUGGAUAGGACCAUGCUGUAGGUGGUGUGGUGGAAAGAUUAGUUUCGGUAAGGGAUGAGCUCGCGGCCUAUCAGCUUGUUGGUGGGGUAAUGGCCUACCAAGGCGUCGACGGGUAGCCGGCCUGAGGGGGUGGACGGCCACAUUGGGACUGGGAUACGGCCCAGACUCCUACGGGAGGCAGCAGUGGGGAAUAUUGCACAAUGGGCGCAAGCCUGAUGCAGCGACGCCGCGUGGGGGAUGACGGCCUUCGGGUUGUAAACUCCUUUCAGCCAUGACGAAGCCCUUGUGGUGACGGUAGUGGUAGAAGAAGCACCGGCUAACUACGUG
This 469-nucleotide ribosomal RNA is filed under the name uncultured bacterium. RNAcentral's name for it is "partial 16S ribosomal RNA". It matches the Rfam family "Bacterial small subunit ribosomal RNA", at positions 28 to 507 of the family's 1533-position model. The record is from RNAcentral.